Molecule: ribosomal RNA, 435 nt
Filed under: uncultured bacterium
Lineage: Bacteria
Description: bacterial SSU rRNA
Rfam family: Bacterial small subunit ribosomal RNA
Source: RNAcentral
UCGAGGAUCUUCGGCAAUGGGCGCAAGCCUGACCGAGCGACGCCGCGUGUGCGAUGAAGGCCUUCGGGUUGUAAAGCACUGUCGAGGGGGAGAAAAGCCCGCAAGGGCCUGAUCGACCCCUGGAGGAAGCACGGGCUAAGUUCGUGCCAGCAGCCGCGGUAAGACGAACCGUGCGAACGUUGUUCGGAAUCACUGGGCUUAAAGGGCGCGUAGGCGGGCAGGCAAGUCAGGGGUGAAAGCCCACGGCUCAACCGUGGAAGUGCCUUUGAUACUGCCUGUCUCGAGGGAGGUAGGGGCGUGCGGAACUUCCGGUGGAGCGGUGAAAUGCGUAGAUAUCGGAAGGAACACCGGUGGCGAAAGCGGCGCGCUGGACCUCUUCUGACGCUGAGGCGCGAAAGCCAGGGGAGCAAACGGGAUUAGAUACCCCCGUAGUCC